UUCUCAGCAUCUUGCAAAGCCUCUGAACUUCAAUCACUUGUAUCCCAGCUAGUGCAAUCCUGAAUUACUUCAAGAGAAUGAAAUCAACUGUCUUAGCAGAGUUGAAAGUAGAACAAUGUGGAUUUCAUUUCUGGUAAAAGGAGGAUUUCUUCAGCCCUAAGCUACAUUCUAGAUGCCCGUGUAUUAACCAAAGUAGCCUCAGGUUUUGUUGCUCUUUUCAGUGGCAGGUUUUAGAUUUGAAUACCAGGUUCAAAUCUCUUCUUCAAGCCCAACUGGUGACCUUGGGCAAAUGGCUGUCAAAACUGUACACACAGCACUUUAAAUUGGUUUCAUUGCAUCCCAUGUGUGCGUGUUUUUUUCACAUCGCCAACAUGAUGUCCUCAUCCAACUGGCAGCCUUCACCCCUCCCCCAAUUUAAUGUGGAUUUUCCUGCUCUGAACAGUAUGGUAGGGGGGCAUACAGUUGUAUAUGGCUCAACUGUGGGCAUACUGAAGUGAAUUGUGUGGGGUGGGUUCUUGUGUUUUGCUGGGUGCCAUCUAACACUAUAUUACCUGCUGCUUUGGUGAGGUGCCCCUUCAUAAGUGGGUGGGGGGCAGGUGUGACACUUAUUAUUAUUAAACUAUAUUGUGUAAGUUUGAUAAACCAGAAAACCCAUCUCAAAAAAUGGCUAUAUAUGCAGGUAAAACGGCUGCCUGCAUGCCUACAUUGGUACAUAUGUGGUGCAUAUAAAGAUUAAACUUGGGCAAGCUCUACUAGGAAGAGUUGUGCAAGGUCCUGUCCAUUAAUCCACCAUCCCCUUUCUCCUGCUGGAGUAAGCUGUAUUCUCCUUUUAUACGCAGCAGAAGGAGAGGAACACGUGAUUUGUUCCGAAAGGCAGGCUUCAAGUGCUUCAGAUAUUAGAAGGCUUGAAGAAGCUGUUGUCCUGCUAAAAGAACAAGGCAAGUUAACAAAUGCAGGCCCAAAGGUCUUUACGUGGUUGACGGCUCUAAAAUGCACCUAGCCAUUCUACAGAAAGUACAAGUUUAAAAGCAAGUGAGAGAAGCAAUAACACAAUAAGAUAUAGAAACAAACAAACAAAAGACCACGGGGAGGUAGAAGUUGAUUUUUCUGUUGCUAAGAUAUUUUCUUCCUGUGCAGCUAAGCAGGCAAAUACUGUAAACAAAAGCUGAGACUUUUAGCAAGAGCAAACCACGGCUUGUGCUACCGCUGUGCUUGCUGCUGGACAAGACUGUAGUAAUCUCAAUUUCCUUAUCUUUUGCUUAAAUUUAAUUACCACAAUGAGGUGGGAGUUUUUCUCAACUAUGUCUAGACUUCAAAACACUGGUAUUGGGAGUUGAUAAGAGUUUUGGCCUUGGACCAGGGAGGAAGGAUUUCAAUCCCUGUCCAGCUUUCAACUUGCUGGGUUAGCUCAAGGCAGACUUUUAACUCUUCCUCACCCUCCCAUACUUCUCAGAGCUCUUGGAGGCAGCAAAGGGAGUUCUCUGAACUUGUCAGAGAAACUUUCCAUUUUAAAUUCCAUCUCUUACAGACCCCCCCCCCCAAUCUUUCUUUAUUGCUGGCUUGCAUAGCCGAAGAACACCGAGACUGAACAUAAAGUGAAACUGGCUUCUCCCAACUUAUGCCUCUCUGUGUUCCACUUCUGGAGGCUGCGGGACAAAGCAGUCCUGCUUGCUCUGGCAUGGUGGCAAAUGGGACAGAGAGCGGAAUUUACACCUGUUAGUCUUGCCAAGCCUUGGUUCAUAUCUGAACUUGACCCCAACAUCAAGCAAUGACCUGCAUCUGUGAAAGGUCCAGGCAGAGCUUUACUCACCUAAAGAUCAUCAUACUUGGCCUGUUGCAAGUCAUCAAGUGAUAUAUGUGCAUGGGUGAAUAACCCCUUCAUAGUGCAAAUAAGAAUUUUUAUUCUUCACGGACUUUUGAACUGUUCAUCAAUAAAUGAGAAAGGGGAAGCACUCCCAUUUUAUACAGUAAGGUUUGGCUAACACCCCGGGUAUCCUGCAUUUGCCCUCUAGAACACGGCAGCUGUUUCCUAGCAGACAAGUUAAUGUGAAGAGUUUUGUAAACAGGAAGUUAGAAAAACCACAAAACUUGCCUUCUUACGGUGUGAUAAAUGGUAAGUCAAACUGAAGUUUUGUUUUUCAGCUUUGUUUUCAUGUAUUUUCACAAAUAAAUGGUUCUGGCGAUAGGCUACCAAAGAGCUGAGAGCUGAUGAUACUCCUCCUAGACAGUAAUGAAAAUCCAGGCCCCCUGUCCUCUAGAGCUGCUACGACUUCAAGUAUUGCCUGCCAGUAUAUAAUAACAGACUUUGAACUGGAAUGAAAGAUGUUAGAAAUACACUCUCCUUCCUGCAAUAAAACUGAAUAAAUGCUG
Podarcis raffonei (Aeolian wall lizard) is the source of this 2370-nucleotide long non-coding RNA. RefSeq lists it as uncharacterized. The record is from RefSeq and is a predicted model, not a curated record. The transcript is spliced from 2 exons. NCBI's taxonomy places the organism in Eukaryota, Metazoa, Chordata, Lepidosauria, Squamata, Lacertidae.